GACGAACGCUGGCGGCGUGCCUAAUACAUGCAAGUCGAACGCAGUGGGGACGGGUGAGUAACAUGUGGGUAACCUCACAUCAAAGGGGUUAACACUUGGAAACAGGUGCUUAACCGACAUUGAUGGAUGAACAAGCGGUGCAUUAGCUAGUUGGUGAGGUAACGGCUCACCAAGGCCACGAUGCCUAACCGAUCUGAAAGGAGGACGCGCAACACGGGGACUGAGACACGGCCCAGACUCCUACGGGAGGCAGCAGUGGGGAAUCGUCAGCUGUGGACGAAAGUCUGACCAAGCUACGGCGCGUGUGUGAAGAAGUUUUUCGGGUCGUAAACCUCUUUUGUUAGAGAGGCGGUAUCUGACCAGAAAGCCUCGGCUAACUACGUGGCAGCAGCCGCGGUAAGAC
This 403-nucleotide ribosomal RNA is filed under the name uncultured bacterium. RNAcentral's name for it is "partial 16S ribosomal RNA". It matches the Rfam family "Bacterial small subunit ribosomal RNA", at positions 28 to 526 of the family's 1533-position model. The record is from RNAcentral.